AGUGAACGCUGGCGGUAGGCCUAACACAUGCAAGUCGAACGGCAGCACAGUAAGAGUUUGCUCUUAUGGGUGGCGAGUGGCGGACGGGUGAGGAAUACAUCGGAAUCUACUUUUUCGUGGGGGAUAACGUAGCGAAACUUACGCUAAUACCGCAUAUGACCUACGGGUGAAAGCAGGGGAUCUUCGGACCUUGCGCGAUUGAAUGCGCCGAUGUCGGAUUAGCUAGUUGGGGGGGUAAAGGCCCACCAAGGCGACGAUCCGUAGCUGGUCUGAGAGGAGGAUCAGCCACACUGGAACUGAGACACGGUCCAGACUCCUACGGGAGGCAGCAGUGGGGAAUAUUGGACAAUGGGCGCAAGCCUGAUCCAGCCAUACCGCGUGGGUGAAGAAGGCCUUCGGGUUGUAAAGCCCUUUUGUUGGGAAAGAAAAGCAGCAGGUUAAUACCCCGCUGUUCUGACGGUACCCAAAGAAUAAGCACCGGCUAACUUCGUG
This 492-nucleotide ribosomal RNA is filed under the name uncultured bacterium. RNAcentral's name for it is "partial 16S ribosomal RNA". It matches the Rfam family "Bacterial small subunit ribosomal RNA", at positions 29 to 507 of the family's 1533-position model. The record is from RNAcentral.